RNAcentral lists this ribosomal RNA (253 nucleotides) under uncultured bacterium. RNAcentral's name for it is "partial 16S ribosomal RNA". It matches the Rfam family "Bacterial small subunit ribosomal RNA", at positions 524 to 776 of the family's 1533-position model. The record is from RNAcentral.
UACGUAGGAUGCAAGCGUUAUCCGGAAUUAUUGGGCGUAAAGCGUCCGCAGGUGGCUAUGUAAGUCUGCUGUUAAAGAGUGAGGCUCAACCUCAUAAGAGCAGUGGAAACUACAUGGCUAGAGUGCGUUCGGGGCAGAGGGAAUUCCUGGUGUAGCGGUGAAAUGCGUAGAGAUCAGGAAGAACACCGGUGGCGAAAGCGCUCUGCUAGGCCGCAACUGACACUGAGGGACGAAAGCUAGGGGAGCGAAUGGG